GACGAACGCUGGCGGCGUGCUUAACACAUGCAAGUCGAACGGAAAGGCCCUGCUUUUGUGCGGUGCUCGAGUGGCGGACGGGUAAGUAACCCUUAGGUACCCUACCCUUCCCUUUGGGGUAACUUAAGGCAGCUGGGGCUAAUCCCGGCAAGGAUUUCCUGCUUCAUGGUGGGGGUGGGAAGGUUUCGGCGGUUGGGCGUGGACUCGCGGCUUAUCAGCUUGUUUGUGGGGUAGUGGAUUACCAUGGCUUGGCCGGGUGGCCGGCCUGCGCGGGUGAGCGGACACAUUGGGACGGAGAUACGGCACAGACUCCAACGGGAGGCAGCAGUGGGGAAUAGUGCACAAGGGGCGGAAGCCUGAUGCAGCAACGCCGUGUGCGGGAUGACGGCAUUCGGGUAGUAAACCGAUUUCGCCUGUGACGAAGCGUGAGUGACGGUAAUGGGUAAAGAAGCACCGGCUAACUACGUG
RNAcentral lists this ribosomal RNA (468 nucleotides) under uncultured bacterium. RNAcentral describes it as "partial 16S ribosomal RNA". It matches the Rfam family "Bacterial small subunit ribosomal RNA", at positions 28 to 507 of the family's 1533-position model. The record is from RNAcentral.